This 491-nucleotide ribosomal RNA is filed under the name uncultured bacterium. Its description in RNAcentral is "partial 16S ribosomal RNA". It matches the Rfam family "Bacterial small subunit ribosomal RNA", at positions 29 to 507 of the family's 1533-position model. The record is from RNAcentral.
GUGAACGCUGGCGGUAGGCCUAACACAUGCAAGUCGAACGGCAGCACAGUAAGAGCUUGCUCUUACGGGUGGCGAGUGGCGGACGGGUGAAGAAUACAUCGGAAUCUACUUUUUCGUGGGGGAUAACGUAGGGAAACUUACGCUAAUACCGCAUACGACCUACGGGUGAAAGCAGGGGAUCUUCGGACCUUGCGCGAUUGAAUGAGCCGAUGUCGGAUUAGCUAGUUGGCGGGGUAAAGGCCCACCAAGGCGACGAUCCGUAGCUGGUCUGAGAGGAUGAUCAGCCACACUGGAACUGGGACACGGUCCAGACUCCUACGGGAGGCAGCAGUGGGGAAUAUUGGACAAUGGGCGCAAGCCUGAUCCAGCCAUACCGCGUGGGUGAAGAAGGCCUUCGGGUUGUAAAGCCCUUUUGUUGGGAAAGAAAAGCAGCAGGUUAAUACCCCGCUGUUCUGACGGUACCCAAAGAAUAAGCACCGGCUAACUUCGUG